Molecule: non-coding RNA, 226 nt
Organism: Paramuricea clavata
Lineage: Eukaryota; Metazoa; Cnidaria; Anthozoa; Malacalcyonacea; Plexauridae
Source: the annotation of a GenBank genome assembly
CUGAAAUUAUAUGCUGUCUUGUUUAGUUGUUUCGUAUACACAAAGGCCGUCGGGUUUUAAAGCUAUUAUAAAAUUAAUAUUUAAAACAAACUUACCUUCGUUAACGUCGGCUCCCUUCUUUAAGCCGAUUCUUUCGCCCUUUCUCCCUGAGAAGGCUUUUGAAAUUUACAAAAUCUUGCAAAAAUGCGAGCAAAAAUGAAAUAUAUUUGCAAGAAAUUUAUCAACC